This 314-nucleotide unclassified non-coding RNA is filed under the name Hevea brasiliensis (rubber tree). Lineage: Eukaryota; Viridiplantae; Streptophyta; Magnoliopsida; Malpighiales; Euphorbiaceae. The record is from RNAcentral.
GCUAGAGGUAAACGAGGCCGCCGCAUCCGCUGAAAUGGCUGUUCCUCUGCUGACCAAGAAGAUCAUUAAGAAGAGAGUGAAAAAGUUCAAGAGGACCCAAAGCGACCGGAAGAUAUGUGUCAAGCAAAGCUGGCGCAGGCCCAAGGGUAUUGAUUCUCGCGUGAGGAGGAAAUUCAAGGGGGUUACACUGAUGCCUAACAUUGGAUAUGGGUCUGAUAAGAAAACCCGUCACUAUCUGCCCAAUGGGUUCAAGAAGUUUGUGGUUCACAACAUAGCUGAACUGGAGUUGCUGAUGAUGCACAACAGGACUUACU